AUACACCCUUCUAAAAGGUCUCAAAAUUGACAAUUUUAAUGGUAGAUGUGAUAUAUUUGUGAAUUUAACGGUGUAAAAUAAUCCAAAUCUGAUGAAAUUUUUAUAAAAUAUGUUUUUCACUAUUUAGAGUAAGAUCAAUACAUCUGAUCUUAAAUUCAAGCUUUUAUCAUUAUUUUUUAUAAGGUUUUUAUUUUCAGCUGUUCAUUUUUAAAUUACUUGUUUGGUAGGUAAAUGAUGUUAAAAAAUUAUAAACUUUAGUUUUCAAAUACUUUUAAUAGUGUAGAUCAAGUCUAACGGAGCCGAUCGUUGAUUUGGAAGCCGCAACAUUGAAAACAAUUUGGUAGCACGAAGGCCUCCGUGCUACCGAUAGUAUACCAGCUUAGCGCUCUCUCUCUCUCUCUCUCUAUACUCUCUCUCUCUCUCUCUCUCUCUCUCUCUCUCUCUCUAUAUAUAUAUAUAUAUAUAUAUAUAUAUAUAUAUAGGCUGGGCUACUAUACUCUUAUGAGUAUAGACCCCCUUAUAUUCAUAAAUUUUUAACUGUUGAUUGAUGGGAUGUACAGUCAGGAUGAUGGUGGUCCCAACUUAGAAUGAUAGUGGUCCCCUAGGGUUGAGUGGGUAGUUGAUUGAAUAGUAUGAUCUAACGGGUGGAAAUGAUCAAUGUAAUAAAUCUAAGAGCCGAAAACUUAUGAGUAUAAAGGAGUCAAUACUCAUAAAAGUAUAGUAGCCGGACUCUUUCUCUCUCUCUCUCUCUCUCUAUAUAUAGUUCCUAUAAGUAUAUAUCUCUCCAAAAUAUAUAAAAUUCCUAAUUUCCGUUUCUAAGCACUAGUUCUUCAAAGUCUUUUUGCAUAAAAAUAUUCAUUGGCUUUGUGUUUUUACAAAAAUAGAUCAUUUUUUUGAAUGUUGUAGAUUCUACCCGAAUUUUUAGUAAACAGAUCAAAAUAUUUUUAUUUCUCUCUCUCCAUUUUUUUGUUCUAUUGUUUGUUUUUCUUCUCUAGAUCGUCGCCCACCUCGUCAAUUUUUUUUCUCUUUAUCCUCCCGUUUUCUCUCAUUUCUCUUCAUCCCUCACUACCCUCGUGUCGAUGUUGCGCUCCUCUCUCUUAUCUCACCCACAUCCCUAUCGAUGCCAGCUCGGAUGUGGCACAGAUUGUGAAAAUGAGGCUGUAGCGGAGGGAGUAGACGUUGAUGGCGAUGGGAGUGGCAACAAUGAUGAGGGUGCCGCAUGAUUUGAGGACCAUGG
Molecule: long non-coding RNA, 1237 nt
Filed under: Ananas comosus (pineapple)
Lineage: Eukaryota; Viridiplantae; Streptophyta; Magnoliopsida; Poales; Bromeliaceae
Description: long non-coding RNA (ACOM_LNC017632)
Source: RNAcentral